Molecule: ribosomal RNA, 3621 nt
Filed under: Durio zibethinus
Lineage: Eukaryota; Viridiplantae; Streptophyta; Magnoliopsida; Malvales; Malvaceae
Description: eukaryotic LSU rRNA
Rfam family: Eukaryotic large subunit ribosomal RNA (bases 391-3621)
Source: RNAcentral
AUAACUCAUGACAAUAGAUAUCUUGGCUCUUACAUCGAUGAAAAACAUAGUGAAAUGCGAUGCUUGGUGUGAAUUGUAGAAUCCUAUAAACCAUCGAGUCUUUGAAUGCAAGUUGCAUCCUAAACCAUUAGGCUAAGGGCACGCCUACCUAGGUGUCAUACAUCAUUGGGCUUUUUGAAACCCUCACCCAUCAGCUAUGGGUGAGAGGACAAAAGAUGGCAUUUAGUGAUCUGGUCAGUCGUGGUUGUCUUAAAAGUGAGUCCUCGACAAUGAUAGCAUCAUGACUAUUAAUAGUCAAGCUCUCGACAUGCCUCAUCUUUGGUGACAAGUGGUCAUUAUCCAUCCAAACCCUAUCGGACCCCCUGCAUCACUAGGUUGAUGCUCACAUCGUGACCCUAGGUCAGGCUAGAUUACCCUUUGAGUUUAAGCAUAUCAAUAAGUGGAGGAAAAUAAACUUACGAAGAUGCCCCUAGUAACAACGAGCAAAUUGAGAAAAGUCUAGCUUGAGAAUCAAGCACCCCUUACAUCCAAAUUGUAGUCUAGAGAAGUAUUCUCAAUGAAAAAGUGGCCCAAGUCCCCUAAAAAAGGGUUUCAGAAAGGGUGAGAGCCUUGUUGUGCCCAGACCCUAUCGCACCACAAAAUAGUGUCUGCGUCUAGGGUUGUUUGGGAAUGUAGCCCCAAUCAGGUAGUAAUUUCCAUCCAAGGCUAAAUACGAGUGAGAGGCUAAUAGUGAACAAUUACCACAGGGGAAAUAUGAAAAAGAUUUUGAAAAGAAAAUCAAAGAGUGCUUGAAAUUGUUGGGAGGAAAGUGCAUGGGGGCCGAUAAUAUGCCCCAAUCGAUGUGGAAUGGUGAGAGCUGAUCUAUUGAUUAGCUUGGGGCAUGGAUAAAUGAGGGUCAUUAUGAUGGUCCAAGCCCGAGCUUUUGAUAUGCCCAUGGAGACAUCAUCGCCAUAAUUAUGGAAUGCAGUACACUUUGUCUUAGAGUGCCUCAGCACCUGUGUGCUCUUGACAUCGGCCUACAGGCUCCCCAUCUGACCUAUCUUAACACACAGACCAAAAAGUCUAACAUGUGUGUGAGUCAAUAGGCUAGAAAACCGAUAAGGCAUAAGGAAGUUGAUUAGUCUAAUCCCUCAUGAGUGCACCAUUGACCAACCUUGAUCUUUUGAGAAGGGUUCGAGUGUGAGCAUGCCUAUCGGGAUCCGAAAGAAGGUGAACUAUGCCUGAGCAUGGUGAAUCUAGAGGAAACUCUAGUGGAGGUUUGCAGCGAUACUGAUGCGCAAAUCAUUCAUCUAAUUUAGGUAUGGGGGUAAAAGACUAAUCAAAUUAUUUAGUAGUUAGUUCCCUCUUAAGUUUCCCUUAGGAUAGUUGGAGCCUUUGGUGAGUUUUAUCGGGUAAAACCAAUGAUUAGAGGCAUCAGAGGCACAGUGCCCUUGACCUAUUCUCAAUUUUUAAAUAAGAGGAUGGCACAACUACUUCGUUGAGCCACGCCAUAAAAUCAAGAGCUCCAAGUGGGCUAUUUUUGGUAUGUAAAACUGAUGAUGCAAGAUAAAUCGAAAAGCUGGGUUAUGGUGCCUAACUGCACGUUAUCCUAGAAUCAAUAAAGGGUGUUAGUCGAUUAAGAUAACAAGAUGGUGCUCAUGGAAGUUGAAAUCUGCUAAAUAGUGUGUCAUAACUCACCUGUCAAAUUAACUAGCCCUAAAAAUGGAUGGCACUUAAGUGUACAACCUAUACCCGACCCUCAGGGUAAGGGCAUCGAUGAGUAGGAAGGCACAGUGGCCACUGUAACUUUUGGGGUGCGAGACUAAGCGGAGUAGCUAUUGAUGCAGAUCUUGGUGGUAGCAGCAAAUAUUCAAAUAAGAACUUUAAAGGUCGAAAAGGUGAAAGCUUCCUUGUGAAUGAAACUUACACAUGGGUUAGUCAAUCCUAAGAGAUGGGGGAAGCUCAUUCGAUAGCACAUUUGACAUGAGCUUCAAAAAGGGAUCAAGUUAAAAUUCUUGAAUUGGGAUGUGAUGGUUGACGACAAUGUUAGGGGGUUCGAAGACAUUAGUGGGGGCAUUAAGAAGAGUUAUCUUUUCUAUUUAACAGCUUAUCCACCUUGGAAACAACUCAACCAAAGGUAGAGUCCAGUACCUUGAAGAGCAUUGAACGUUAAGUGGUGUCCACUACACCCCCAGUGGCACUUGAAAAUCUAGAGGAUCAAGAGCUGUCCAUGCCCAAUCGUACUCGUAAUCGCAUUAGGUCUCCAAGGUAAACAACCUCUUGUUGAAUGAACAAUGUGGGCAAGGGAAGUUGGCGAAAUGGAUUCAUAACCUCAAAAAAAAGAUUGGCUUUGAGGGCUGGGCACAAGGGUCCCAGUCCCAAACCCAUCAGUAAUUGAUGCACUGCUUGAGCUACUUCCAAGAUGAGAAUGGGUCACUGUAUGCUGGUCAAGGGAUAGACUGAGAAUGGUUCCCUCAAGUGAUAAACAGUCGACUCAAAACUAGUAUAAAUAAGGGGAAUCUAACUAUUUAAAUAAAACAAAGCAUUGUGAUAGUCCUUAUGGAUGCUCACGAAUGUGAUUUUUGCCCAGUGCUCUGAAUGUCAAAGUGAAGAAAUUCAACCAAGCACGAGCAAAUAGUAGGAGUAACUAUGACUUUCUUAAGGUAGCUAGGUGCCUUGUCAUAAAAUUAGUGAUGUGCAUGAAUGGAUUAAUGAGAUUCCCACUAUCUUUGUUUACUAUCCAGUGACACCAUACCCAAGGGAAUAUGCAUGGUGGGAUCAAUAGGGAAAGAAGACCCUAUUUAGCUUGACUAUAGUUUAACUUUGUGAAAUGACUUGAGAGGUGUAGGAUAAAUUGGAGCCCUCAAGUGAAAUUGAAAUACCACUACUUUUAAUGUUAUUUUACUUAUUCUAUGAAUCAAAAGCAGGGCACGACCCUUUCUUUUGGACCCAAGGUCAGCCUCGAUUGGUUGAUUUGGGUAGAAGACAUUGUCAGGUGGGAAAUUUGGCUACGUGACACAUUUAUUAAAAGAUAACAUAGGUGUCCUAAAAUGAGCUCAUAGAAUAGAAAUUUUUUAUGGAACAAAAGGGUAAAAGCUCAUUUGGUUUUGAUUUCUAGUAUGAAUACAAACCAUGAAAGCAUGGCCUAUUAAUCCUUUAGACCUUCAAAAUUUGAAGCUAGAGGUGUCAAAAGAGUUACCACAAGGAUAACUAGCUUUUGGCAUCUAAGCAUUCAUAGCAAUGUUGCUUUUUGAUCCUUCGAUGUCGGCUUUUCCUAUCAUUACAAAGCAAAAUUCACCAAUUUUUGGAUUAUUCACCCUCUAAUUAGGAAUGGUAGCUGGGUUAAGACAUCAUGAGACAAGUUAGUUUUACCCUAUCAAUGGCAGCAUCGCAAUAGUAAUUAAACCUAGUACAAGAGGAAUUUUUGAUUUGGAUAAUUGGUCAUAGCGCUGGGUUGAAAAGCCAGUGGCGUAAAGCUACUGUGUGUUGGAUUAUGAUUAAACACCUCUAUGUCAAAAUCUAAGUUAGAAGUGAUGCAUGCGCCUACUGCUCGACUGUCGACCCAUAAAGCCAUGUGUCGUAGGUGUACCCCCAAUGGCAGACAAGUCGCACAAGCCUCGUUAGAGUUUAAUUCCCACUGAG